Orbicella faveolata is the source of this 756-nucleotide long non-coding RNA. Lineage: Eukaryota; Metazoa; Cnidaria; Anthozoa; Scleractinia; Merulinidae. The record is from RefSeq and is a predicted model, not a curated record.
UUUUCAAUAAAUAAAUUGGAUUUUAAAUACACGCCGCCCUCUUAUAAACGCCGCAUUAGAAUCACGUAGAAUUUAUUAAACGCCGCGUCAUUUAAUCGAAUAAAUACGCUACUUGCGCAAUAAGGGUGGAUUCGUGAUCAAAAAUGGAAAACUAACAAAAAAUACCAGGUAAUCAAGUAAUUAACAUACAGGCGACUUGUCGAAUCCUUUCUCUUACACUAUUGAUCACGUGUACAAGCCAGAUUAUCAUUAUGAGGUCACGAGCCAGAUGUGCUGAUCUUUCAUGGAAUGAGGGAAAAACCCCUAUUUGAUUAUUUGUACUUCAACUUUUGGUUUCACAUUCAGUCGUUUUACAAUGCAUGGUAACGUUAGUUUUGCAGAAGUCUCGAAGAUUCAGAAACUCAAGCUUUUCCAAUGCAGUAAUUGCUGUAAACUUUUCUCCAUAGGAUUCCGAGUCAUCUGAAUUAUAGUUUUCUGUUUAGCCCAGGUGAAGGUCUGAGUCAUGGCGGAAAGUGAAAUUAAGUCACGUGAAGCAAGAGUAGAUUCUGAUGAAUAUGUUUUAGCAGACAUAGCCCAAGGCCCAGCUCCAGGCCCAGGCCCUCCUAAUGAAAAACUUGAUUUUGAUGAUGAUACUCUAAGAGGUGAGAGAAUAACUGCCAAUUAGUUUAUUAUAUAAUACACUAUUAAUUUUACACCAUAUCGUACCUGUUCGGUUAGUUUUGGUGGGAUUUUGAGCCAUGGCCAACCAACCAGGCC